UGAGGAAUAUUGGUCAAUGGGCGUAAGCCUGAACCAGCCAAGUCGCGUGAGGGAUGAAGGAUCUAUGGUUCGUAAACCUCUUUUAUAAGGGAAUAAAGUGCGGGACGUGUCCUGUUUUGUAUGUACCUUAUGAAUAAGGAUCGGCUAACUCCGUGCCAGCAGCCGCGGUAAUACGGAGGAUCCGAGCGUUAUCCGGAUUUAUUGGGUUUAAAGGGUGCGUAGGCGGCCUUUUAAGUCAGCGGUGAAAGUCUGUGGCUCAACCAUAGAAUUGCCGUUGAAACUGGGGGGCUUGAGUAUGUUUGAGGCAGGCGGAAUGCGUGGUGUAGCGGUGAAAUGCAUAGAUAUCACGCAGAACCCCGAUUGCGAAGGCAGCCUGCCAAGCCAUGACUGACGCUGAUGCACGAAAGCGUGGGGAUCGAACA
RNAcentral lists this ribosomal RNA (422 nucleotides) under uncultured Parabacteroides sp. RNAcentral's name for it is "bacterial SSU rRNA". It matches the Rfam family "Bacterial small subunit ribosomal RNA", at positions 355 to 774 of the family's 1533-position model. Lineage: Bacteria; Pseudomonadati; Bacteroidota; Bacteroidia; Bacteroidales; Tannerellaceae. The record is from RNAcentral.